Non-coding RNA from Camellia sinensis, 731 nucleotides. NCBI's taxonomy places the organism in Eukaryota, Viridiplantae, Streptophyta, Magnoliopsida, Ericales, Theaceae. The record is from RefSeq and is a predicted model, not a curated record.
UUUAACUACAAAAGAAACAAAGAAAAGAAGAACAAGAAUCAAUGAAUGUCCACUAGAAAUAUAUUCAUUUGUAUGUAAAAUGUUUAUUCUUGUGGAAGUUAGUAGUUUAUAGCUAUCUGUUAAUUUUUUCAUUUCCUUGUAAAUUUGCAGUCCACAGUCCAGUUGGGACUUGAUUUUUUAUCUCUUGAAAGUCUGGGUGAGUUUGUAAGGUUAGCUGAAGAAAUACGCUAUCUUCCAAAUGAUAAUGACAGAAAGCUUCAAAUGUUGGAGGUCAGGAGAAGGAAAUUUUCCUUAGAAGUAGGAAAGAUAUCACUAUAUGCUGCAAGUUCAGCGAUUAUGGAAGUCCAAAAGCUUGUGCUGGAUCCAAAACUUGGUGCAGAGCUUGGAUUUGAGGAUCAAAUUUGACUGCAAUGGUUUCAAAGAAUUUAGAGGAGGUGGUUAAGCGAAGAUAGAUCACUUGUGUUUGAAUUAGUAAGUGUACAGAGCUUGUAAUUUAGGUGAAAUAGAAUUCAAUAUCUCAAGUUGGGAUGAGAAUGCAUGUUUUAUAGUGUAAAACGUGUAAAUAUGUUUGCACGUAGUCUUCUUUUGAGGUUUCAAUGCCCUCUUACAUCAAGAAAAUACCAUGGCAUUUUUACAAUGAAUAUAGGGAAAUUUGAUAGAUAACCUUAUUGUAAGGAUAUGUUCUCUUUUGUAGAAUAUUAAUGUUUAAUAUUUUUGUGAUUAAUGUCAGA